AUCACCUACGGGGGGCAGCAGUAGGGAAUCUUCCACAAUGGACGAAAGUCUGAUGGAGCAACGCCGCGUGAGUGAAGAAGGGUUUCGGCUCGUAAAGCUCUGUUGGUAGUGAAGAAGGAUAGAGGUAGUAACUGGCCUUUAUUUGACGGUAAUUACUUAGAAAGUCACGGCUAACUACGUGCCAGCAGCCGCGGUAAUACGUAGGUGGCAAGCGUUGUCCGGAUUUAUUGGGCGUAAAGCGAGUGCAGGCGGUGUAAUAAGGCUGAUGUGAAAACCUUCUGCGUAAACGGGGGA
This 294-nucleotide ribosomal RNA is filed under the name uncultured bacterium. RNAcentral's name for it is "partial 16S ribosomal RNA". It matches the Rfam family "Bacterial small subunit ribosomal RNA", at positions 334 to 619 of the family's 1533-position model. The record is from RNAcentral.